GAUGAACGCUAGCGGGAGGCCUAACACAUGCAAGCCGAGCGGUAUUGUUUCUUCGGCAAUGAGAGAGCGGCGUACGGGUGCGUAACACGUGUGCAACCUGCCUUUAUCUGGGGGAUAGCCUUUCGAAAGGAAGAUUAAUACUCCAUAAUAUAUUGAACGGCAUCGUUUAAUAUUGAAAGCUCCGGCGGAUAGAGAUGGGCACGCGCAAGAUUAGCUAGUUGGUGAGGUAACGGCUCACCAAGGCGAUGAUCUUUAGGGGGCCUGAGAGGGUGAUCCCCCACACUGGUACUGAGACACGGACCAGACUCCUACAGGAGGCAGCAGUGAGGAAUAUUGGUCAAUGGGUGCAAGCCUGAACCAGCCAUCCCGCGUGAAGGACGACUGCCCUAUGGGUUGUAAACUUCUUUUGUAUAGGGAUAAACCUACCCUCGAGAGGGUAGCUGAAGGUACUAUACGAAUAAGCACCGGCUAACUCCGUG
This 479-nucleotide ribosomal RNA is filed under the name uncultured bacterium. RNAcentral's name for it is "partial 16S ribosomal RNA". It matches the Rfam family "Bacterial small subunit ribosomal RNA", at positions 28 to 507 of the family's 1533-position model. The record is from RNAcentral.